UAUGACAUGUGACAGGAGCCACUGUAAUCCAUGGUUCGAUUUUCCAUGGUUUCUUUAAACAGCCAGUAGAAACUUCUGCUAUCUAUAUGAAAAACUUCUCAUUCAUCAUCACCAACAAACGACCAAGUCAUGUCGAACCUUGAAAACAUGAGACCGCUUUUUAAGUUUUGCCAUGCAAGUGCAACCACCUUUACAACCACCCCAGGAGGAUCGGGUGGUUCAAAGGUAGGAUUCAUUCUGGUAGGUUAGGUAAUACCUGGCAAAAGUCAACAUUAACCGGCACAACUACGUAGUAACGUUAGCUUGCUAAUGAUUGCAACAGCUACCGUGGGGUGCGCGAGUAUGGGCGGCGUCGAUUAUGCUGAGUGUCAUUAUUGUAACAUUUAUAACGUUUGCACAUGUCAGAUUUCAAUCGUUCAGGAGACGAAAUAAUGCUGGAGUCCAAAGGCGACAAACCGGGAGAAGCAGGUUGAUAACUAUGAGGGUUUGCCUGAUUGCUGACCCUACCAUCCGGUAGCUGAACAGGAUAGGUACAUUUUACCUAUAUCCAUGUAGUACAUGAGGACACAGUGCUUGCUUUGUAAGUAAGCUAGGUGUGAAUCUAUGUUGUGAUUCAACAUAAGACUUAUUGCAGGUUAUUUUACUGAUUUAAAGAUCAUGGACUAUUUCCCUGUUUUAUAUUAGGAUACUUUUUAUUAGAUUUAAAUAAUGUUUCCAUAUCUCAGUAUCUUUAGAGUAUCCUGUGAGGCAGAUCAAAGUGCCCUAUGGUCAGGAGAGCAGCUUCUUGAAGGUUUUGGGGGAAACAUUCCCCCAGAUGAAUCCAAAUGUAGAGGCCUUUAAGACAGACAGGAGGAGGCUCGUUCCCCUACAAAAAAAGGAUUGUUGUCAAGACAAUGGAGGACAGAGAUGGUGUGGUUGAAUUGGUAGCUCAACAAUUUGUCCAAGGGAGCAUGCAGGUGGCCUUGGAGCAGUAAGUCAACUCUGUCAUAAAUCUGUGAAGUACUUGUCAUUACCUCCUCUAACGUAAGUAUUUUUAAUCAGUCCACCCCCCUAAAUUGAACAUCAAUAUAUUGUCCUUAACACUUAUUUUAAAUAUACAUACUGUCUCUAAACCCAUAACAGGUUCAAAUAUCAUCUCAACUCUUUUGGGCUGCUCGAAGCAUUGGGGACCCACCCAGGCAGCUUCCGAGCACUGUUUGAAGGACUCCAUAAAGCCUCCCACUGCCAGGGACCUGUUUAAAGUAACCUAUUCCAUACCUGGCGGCAACCGGCGGUGUUUGAAGUACGACACCAUCUGCCGUUGGUUCAACUGGCUGGCUGAGGUGCAAGAUGGAGAAUGUCCUCCUCUAACAGUGGUGAUGGUGUUGGGAGUUUGCUACUGGGGCAACGGUGGGUUUGAGGACACCCCCAACCAUCGAAUUCCUCCACACAGCGCGAGGGCUUCUCGCUGGGCAGCAGAAGAAAAAGUACCCAGAGGCAAACACGUGUGCUGUGACACUAAGGCUCCCUCUUCAUAGCACCUACAAUGCCUUUAGGGAAUUCAUGACCUCCGGUAUUGUGAAUUCACCACAUUUCGGUGUCGCAUAAAAACAUUUUUAUGAUACAUAAUUGUAUCUAGUAGCACUAAAUUACAGUAGCAAUUGAGUGUUUGAAAAUGUAACUACACAACAUUUUAAGCAUUUAUCUACUUACAUCUAUUGUUUGUACAGUGCAUUGGGAACGUAUUCAGACCCCUUGACUUUUUCCACAUUUUAUUACAUUACAGCCUUAUUAAAAAAUUGAUACAAUUUUUUACCCUCAUCAAUCUACACACAAUACCCCAUAAAGACAAAGCAAAAACAAGUUGACAUUUUUGCAAAUGUAUAAAAUAAAAAAAAAGGGAAUAUUACAUUUGACCCUUUACUCAGUACUUUGCUGAAGCACCUUUGGCAGCGAUUACACCAUAGUCUUCUUGGUAUGACGCUACAUUUUUAUUUAUUUAAUACAUUUUAGAAUAAGGCUCUAAUGUAGCAAAAUGUGGAAAAAGUCAAGGGGUCUGAAUACUUUCCAAAUGCACUGUAUUUACAUAUUGGCUGUUAUUGUUCACUUAAUGAUCAUUCAAAUUAAAUGAUACAAUCCA
Molecule: long non-coding RNA, 2119 nt
Organism: Salmo salar (Atlantic salmon)
Lineage: Eukaryota; Metazoa; Chordata; Actinopteri; Salmoniformes; Salmonidae
Source: RefSeq, a predicted model, not a curated record